This is a long non-coding RNA of Brassica napus (rape), 2709 nucleotides long. RefSeq lists it as uncharacterized. NCBI's taxonomy places the organism in Eukaryota, Viridiplantae, Streptophyta, Magnoliopsida, Brassicales, Brassicaceae. The transcript has 3 exons. The record is from RefSeq and is a predicted model, not a curated record.
ACAAAAAUCGUAUAUGUAAAGAAAUUAUGAUAAAAAGACACACCAAAUAAAUACAACUGAAUAGACACUAAUAUGAAAGCAAAUAACUUUUGAUUAAAAGCGGUUGUGCACAAAGAGAUAUGAUAAACUAUCGAAAUGACACAACUGUAGAUAACUAGAUAUUCACAACACUUUGAAGUACACGUAUAACAAAUUUAUCAUAUUUUUUUGAAUAUUUAAAUAUUUUUUGAAUAAUAUUUACUUAUUAUCUGUGUGCCGUGGAAGUAUGAUUAGUUUUUUUGGUGUUAGGAUAAAAAAAAAAGCUUCUUCAUGUUUCUUUAAAAAUCUUUGAUGAUAUUUUAACAAUGAAUCUCUCAUUUUUCUAAUUUAAUUGUGAUUGUUGUGAUUUGUCAAUGCAUACAACUCUUUAUAUAGAGGAUUAAAGGUAGCAAUGGUUGUUAGUUAAUACCAAAAGUUGGGAUGAUUUAUACCAAAAUCUACAAUCACCAAUUGCAAGACAACUUUUUAAUACAAUUUUUAGGAUGAAAAAACACAAUCAAAUGAAGAGAUACAAUUUUUAAAUUUUUAAAAAGAGAUUUUUUAGAUAUUUAAACUAAUUUAAAACUAAUUAAAAGAUACAACUAUUAAAAAUAUAUUUUAGAGAUGUUUUUGGAAAGAAACAUAUACAAUCAAAUGAAGAGAUACAAUUUUGAAAUUUUUUAAAAGAGAUUUUUUAGAUAUUUUAACUAAUUUAAAACUAAUUAUAAAGAUACAACUGUUAAAAAUAUAUUUUUAGAAAUGAUGUUGGAAAGACACAUAUAUAAUUUGACAAUUUAUUUUUAAUCAGUGCAACUUUUGAGAUGAAACAACGUAACUUUUGAAAUUAACUGUCGAAAAGACAUAUAUAUAAUUUGACAAAAAUUUUUAACUAAUGCAACUUUUAAGAUGAAAAGACAUAUCUCUUAAACAUUAAUUGAGAUUACUAUUAAUUGAGAUUACUAUUAUUAAUAGAUCGAUUAAAAUCCCAGAAAUUUUUAAACUGGAAAUUAUAAAUAUUAAUUAAAAUGGAGGGAAUUUUGAGCCUAUAAAAUUAUAGAUGUUGUUCUAUUAAAAGACUAUUAUCAUUACGAAUCUAAAACAACUCAAUCAAUAGAAAAAUAUCAAGUAAACAAAAUAUCAUGAAACAAGACAAAGAGGUGGUCAUUUUAUAUUUAUAUAUAUAUAGAGAGAGAGAGAGAGCUUCCCCUAAACACAAAAAAAAAAAAAAAAAAGCAAAUUGAGAAGACAAAUGGAGAAAAAAUUGAGUGUGGCGAUGAUGGUGUUUGUCUUGGUGGUGAUGGCGUCCACUGCAGGAGAAGCAAGCUAUAUUUCAUGUACAUUCAAAUGUGAGGUUCUCUGUGACGAUCAGGACUACAAAGCCGAAUGCAUCAGCAAAUGUAUGGCCGACUGCAAAGAUACACCACCUCCACCCUUCACUCAACUAAACCAUACUCGCAGAUGAGCACUGGAGAGAUGGAAGAAAUGAUAGGAUGAAGAGACUUUUAGAAUGUCAUGCAUGAUGGUUUUUUUAUCUUUUCUUUUCUGUCCAAUCUAAACAAAAAUAUAAAAUAAUAAUAUAAUAAUACUCUUUCCGUUUCAUUUUAAUUGUCGUUCUAGAUUUAUGCACACAGAUUAAGAAAACAUAUGAUUUUGUAUAUUUCCAAAACAAAAACAGAAUUACCUAUACACCAAUAGAAAAAUAAAGUGGAGAAUCUUAUUAAUAUUUUUUACAUUGAAACUCUAAAACGAUACUUAUUUUGAAACGAAUUUUUUUCCAAGAACGACAAGUAAAUCGAAACGGAGGGAAUAGGAUUUAACAAGGUAUUUGGGAGAACAUAUACAAUGCAUCUAUUGGUAUACAAAACUAAUUAUUUGUUGGAAAGGGUGCAUGGUCAAUGACCAUAAUUUGGUCAAAAAUGAAUAGAAUAAAAUAGAGAAUAUACCUGGUUUUUCAGAAAAAGAAAGGAAUAUACCCAUUUCAUAAUAUUCUAGGACAAAAACUGCCUUUUUGUUAGAGGUAAAUUAGGACACAAAUUUUCUAGAGUCCAAAGUCAAAUUUCAACACUUCACGUAUUAAUGAUAGCUUGGCAUAUAAAAAACUCACAUUGCUUACAUGUAGCUCAACCGAAACAAGACAAAGAGGUGGUCAUUUCAUCUUUAUAUAUAGAGAGCUUCCUUUUUAUAUACAUAAACACAAAAAAAAAAAAAAAAAAAAAAAAAUAUUAAGAAGACAAAUGGAGAAAAAAAUGAGUUUGGCGAUGGUGGUGUUCGUUUUGGUGGUGAUGGCGGCCAUUGGAGGAGAAGCAGUAAAUCAUUUGUGUACAUUUAAAUGUGAGAUUACCUGCCGCGAUCCGGAGUUCAAAACCGAGUGCUUCAGAGCAUGUAUGGCUGACUGCGACCAUGAUAAACCUACAAGUACCUUUCACUCAACUAAAGCAUACUCGAUGAAGACUGGGGAGAUGGAAGAUAUUAGAGGAUAAAGAUGGUUAAUUUCAGUAUUUCUCAUGAUGAUUUUUUACUGUCUACAUGUAACGAAAAUCUACAAUAAUAAUAAAAAAAUCAAAUAAUAAUGAUAAAAUAUUUAACAAGGUAUUUGGGAGACACAUAUACUUAUUUCAUCUAUUUAUAUGCAAUGCAUGAAAUGAUCAAAGGUUACACACAUGAAAUGAUCAUAUAUGUGUUUCUGAUUUA